Molecule: long non-coding RNA, 159 nt
Organism: Strongylocentrotus purpuratus (purple sea urchin)
Lineage: Eukaryota; Metazoa; Echinodermata; Echinoidea; Camarodonta; Strongylocentrotidae
Exons: 2
Source: RefSeq, a predicted model, not a curated record
AUGUCCUCAAGCCAGACAAUUAUAGACCGGAGCUCACUCUGGUCACAGCUCGAUAAUAAGCCUCCGACACUGGCACGACAAGAAGGUUCAUACUACAAUGGAUACUUACAUAGACAGGAGAUUCAAUUGGAUAGAAUGACAUCUCUCCUGUAAAAGAAG